UACAGAGAGUGCGAACGUUGUUCGGAAUUACUGGGCUUAAAGCGCACGUAGGCGGCAUCGUAAGUGUCCGGUGAAAUCCCACGGCUCACCCGUGGAACUGCCUGGCAGACUGCGAUACUCGAGUGUGGUAGGGGAGAGCGGAACUCCUGGUGGAGCGGUGAAAUGCGUAGAUAUCAGGAGGAACACCGGUGGCGAAGGCGGCUCUCUGGUCCACAACUGACGCUGAGGUGCGAAAGCUAGGGGAGCAAACGGG
This 253-nucleotide ribosomal RNA is filed under the name uncultured bacterium. RNAcentral describes it as "partial 16S ribosomal RNA". It matches the Rfam family "Bacterial small subunit ribosomal RNA", at positions 524 to 776 of the family's 1533-position model. The record is from RNAcentral.